AUGUAAAUAGUUUAAUUAAAACAUUGAUUUGUGGGGUCAGGGAUAUAUUUGUAGUAUUUUACAUA
RNAcentral lists this transfer RNA (65 nucleotides) under Hycleus marcipoli. RNAcentral describes it as "tRNA-His". The record is from RNAcentral. Lineage: Eukaryota; Metazoa; Arthropoda; Insecta; Coleoptera; Meloidae.